GGGGCAUUAGCUCAGCUGGGAGAGCGCUACACUGGCAGUGUAGAGGUCAGCGGUUCGAACCCGCUAUGCUCCAC
This 74-nucleotide transfer RNA is filed under the name Halolactibacillus halophilus. RNAcentral describes it as "tRNA-Ala". It matches the Rfam family "tRNA". From Rfam's summary of the family: Transfer RNA (tRNA) molecules are approximately 80 nucleotides in length. Their secondary structure includes four short double-helical elements and three loops (D, anti-codon, and T loops). The record is from RNAcentral. Lineage: Bacteria; Bacillati; Bacillota; Bacilli; Caryophanales; Bacillaceae.